UAAAGAUAGAUCAAGAAGACGAGAAUAAUAAUAUUAACAGCCAAGAUAAGAUUAGCACCACCAAGAAGAACAAGAAGAAAAAUCAGGUGUUGCUGGAGGGAUACGUGGAGGCGGUUGAUGAGGAGGAUGAACUGAAGAGGACAAAGAGCUUGACCGGUGAUGAUCUAGACGAACUAAAGGGGUGUUUAGAUCUGGGGUUUGGCUUCAGCUACGAGGAGAUUCCUGAGCUUUGCAACACCUUGCCUGCACUUGAGCUAUGUUACUCUAUGUCUCAGAAGUACUUGGAUGACCACCAGCACCAUGCAUCUCCAGACACCACCGCUACCCCCGAACCCGUCGCCAAUUGGAAGAUCUCUAGUCCUGGUCAGUCUUUUCUCUUUUUUACCAUCUUUCUUUGUUUUAUUUUUCUAUUUGUCAUCAGAUCUUGUUGUGCUCGUUUUUACAAGGACUUUGAGUGAUGAUAAGCUUUUGUUUCUUGCUUUUCUUUCCCACUUGUUGUAGUGUUAUAUCAUACAUGACAUGCUUUUCUUUGCUAGAUGAAAUUAGGAUUGAGCCAAAAAGAAUUGAAAAACUGAUUCAAAUCGAUUCAUUCGGCUUAGUUUAGAUUCAGGAAUUGAAAGCCCACACUUGGGGUUCCUUUAUUCAAAUAAAUACUUGGUUUCUUACACAAACACAAUAAUCAAGGUUGAUUUGCAUUGAUGCUGAGAAAUCCAAGAAACUAAUAUUUUGCCAUCUGCUCAAAGUUUACAAAUCUUUUCACAGAAAAGGGGAAAAAAAAAAAGCAGGAACAUUGUGCAAUUUGUUUUUCAUAGAACAGUAGUACUCGCAAGUUGGAUGCAUCUAGCCUGUGCAAAACCAUGUAUAGAUGGUCGACUUCGCUUAGGGAACGAGUUUUAACCUUGUGUAUGCAUUACAGGUGACCAUCCAGAAGAUGUUAAAGCAAGGCUUAAAUUCUGGGCACAAGCUGUGGCCUGCACUGUCAAACUGUGCAACUAAAAGAUUCAUGAACAAUCAUUGGAAAAAUGAGAAUGAAUAUUUUUCUCAUUGAUGAGCAUCAACUGGAUAAAACCCUACGCUCUGCCGAACCAUGCCAUGGUGGGG
Molecule: long non-coding RNA, 1101 nt
Filed under: Gossypium barbadense (sea-island cotton)
Lineage: Eukaryota; Viridiplantae; Streptophyta; Magnoliopsida; Malvales; Malvaceae
Description: long non-coding RNA (GBAR_LNC001033)
Source: RNAcentral